GGUGUGGUAGUCAAGCGGCAACGACAGCAGACUGUAAAUCGGCCCCGAAUUCGGUUCGUAGGUUCAAGUCCUACCCGCACCA
RNAcentral lists this transfer RNA (82 nucleotides) under Caudoviricetes sp. RNAcentral describes it as "tRNA-Tyr". It matches the Rfam family "tRNA". From Rfam's summary of the family: Transfer RNA (tRNA) molecules are approximately 80 nucleotides in length. Their secondary structure includes four short double-helical elements and three loops (D, anti-codon, and T loops). The record is from RNAcentral. Lineage: Duplodnaviria; Heunggongvirae; Uroviricota; Caudoviricetes.